Molecule: RNA transcript, 1582 nt
Organism: Cyprinodon tularosa
Lineage: Eukaryota; Metazoa; Chordata; Actinopteri; Cyprinodontiformes; Cyprinodontidae
Gene name: bcl-2/adenovirus E1B 19 kDa-interacting protein 2-like protein
Exons: 11
Source: RefSeq, a predicted model, not a curated record
GAGUGGGGGUGUCAGAGUCCACUCACAAACUGAUCAGCUGACUCACCGGGUGUGGAGCAGGUUCCCUCACAGAUCUCUGUUUAUCCCUAACCAUUCUCUCCUUUCCUCACCUGUCUCCCUGUACCCGCCGGCUGAAGGAGCUGCAAAGCGUCAUGGAAUCCGCAGGAGAAGAACUUGAAGAAGAAGCCUGCAGAAUAAACCAGGAAGAUGAAAACAUUGAAACCACCCCCGAAUAUGCUGAAAAUGCAUCCAGUUCUAUUCCAACAACCCCAACAGCUCCCCCCAACAGCCUGCCUCUGACAGGGGAACGACAAAUGAAGAAGAAAGUGUUAGCAGCUCCAGCUCUGAGUCUGUCAUUAGGUGGCAGUGGGUCGAUAACCUCUGACAACCUACAAUCAGCCUUCCUCUCCCCCUCACCAGAAGAUCUAGAGGACACAGGGCUGGAUUUUGAUUUGGACGCCAUAGAAACGCCAUCAGACAGUGAAUCCUUGCACUUCCCCAUCUAUGACCUGGACCUUGAAGAGGACCUCCUGCGGCUCGGUGUGGCCUCCCACCACAACAGAGUAUCUGGAUCCGGAUCCAGGUCAGGCUCAGGGCCCGGUUUCUUAACAGGCCCUGACCAGUUUGGACUGGGAGCUUUGGAAAGGGAGGACAUGGUGGACGGAGAAGGUACCAAGUGGCGCUGCUUCACCACAGGCGACCCCCCGCAGGAGUCCAGGGUCAACAUGAGCGUCCUGGAGCCUUACCUGAGGGUGUUGUCACACGGAGGUUACUACGGAGAUGUUCACAAUGACAUCAUUGUGUUUUCCUCCUGCUACCUUCCAGAAAACAGUCUGGAAAACUACCAGUAUGUGAUGGAUAACCUCUUCAGAUUUGUAAUUGGGACCCUGGAACUGAUGGUUGCAGAAAACUAUGUGAUAGUCUAUCUGUGUGCAGGAGGCCAGAAGGAAAAACUCCCAGGAAUCGGGUGGCUUAAAGAGUGCUACACCACCAUAGACCGGAGGUUGAGGAAGAACCUGAAGGGUUUCUAUGUGGUUCAUCCCACCUGGUACAUCAAACUCCUCAUCACCAUCAUCAAACCCUUCAUCAGUUCUUUUUCCGUUUCACGUUUUCAGCUCUAAGUUCAGCAGAAAGCUUCAGUUCGUGAACACGCUUCAGGAGCUUUCCCAGUUCAUCUCUACUGAACAUGUUCAGAUCCCAGACUGUGUCAGACAGUACGACCAGAACCAGUCCAGGUGAAGAUCAAGUACAGCCUGAAGUGAAUAAAAUAUUCCUCUCUGGUAUUGAUUGCGUCUCACCUUGCAGGAAGUGAUUAUACAUCACCUUCAGACUGUAUUUAAGGAUGAGGAUUAUGCUAUUUUUACAAAUGUAUUGUGUAAAUGGUGUUGAUGGAGGCUUUGCUUUUUAUAUAUUUUUAAAAAAUCUCUUUUUUUUAUUUUUGAAGAGAAAACAGCAUAAUACAGAUGCACAAUGUACACACGCUGCCUCAUUUCUGUUUUCACUUCUCAAGGGACAUUUUGAAAGCAGAUUUUUUAUAGAAAGUUCAGGUUAAUGAGAAUUUUCUGUCCUUUCCUCCAUAACC